This 253-nucleotide ribosomal RNA is filed under the name uncultured bacterium. RNAcentral's name for it is "partial 16S ribosomal RNA". It matches the Rfam family "Bacterial small subunit ribosomal RNA", at positions 524 to 776 of the family's 1533-position model. The record is from RNAcentral.
GACAGAGGGUGCAAACGUUGUUCGGAAUUACUGGGCGUAAAGCGCGUGUAGGCGGCCAGGUAAGUCCGUUCUGAAAGCCCGGGGCUCAACCCCGGGAGGCGGAUGGAUACUGCUUGGCUCGAGUCCGGAAGAGGCGAGUGGAAUUCCCGGUGUAGCGGUGAAAUGCGCAGAUAUCGGGAGGAACACCAAUGGCGAAGGCAGCUCGCUGGGACGGUACUGACGCUGAGACGCGAAAGCGUGGGGAGCAAACAGG